CUUUUGACAGAGGAACUCUGUCAGGGUGGAUUUUAUCCAAAGCCAAGAAAGACGAUACCGAUGAUGAAAUUGCCAAAUAUGAUGGAAAGUGGGAGGUAGAGGAAAUGAAGGAGUCAAAGCUUCCAGGUGAUAAAGGACUUGUGUUGAUGUCUCGGGCCAAGCAUCAUGCCAUCUCUGCUAAACUGAACAAGCCCUUCCUGUUUGACACCAAGCCUCUCAUUGUUCAGUAUGAGGUUAAUUUCCAAAAUGGAAUAGAAUGUGGUGGUGCCUAUGUGAAACUGCUUUCUAAAACACCAGAACUCAACCUGAUAAAUGUGGAGAGGACUAUAAACUGCACUUCAUCUUCCGACACAAAAACCCCAAAACGGGUAUCUAUGAAGAAAAACAUGCUAAGAGGCCAGAUGCAGAUCUGAAGACCUAUUUUACUGAUAAGAAAACACAUCUUUACACACUAAUCUUGAAUCCAGAUAAUAGUUUUGAAAUACUGGUUGACCAAUCUGUGGUGAAUAGUGGAAAUCUGCUCAAUGACAUGACUCCUCCUGUAAAUCCUUCACGUGAAAUUGAGGACCCAGAAGACCGGAAGCCCGAGGAU
This 592-nucleotide unclassified non-coding RNA is filed under the name Homo sapiens (human). RNAcentral describes it as "calnexin (ENSG00000283777.2)". The record is from RNAcentral. Lineage: Eukaryota; Metazoa; Chordata; Mammalia; Primates; Hominidae.